CAUAUACUCCCUCCGUUCGGAAUUCCUUGUCAUAGAAAUGGAUGUAUCUAGACGUAUUUUAGUUCUAGAUACAUCUAUUUUCGAGACAAGUAAUUCCGAACGGAGGGAGUAGUUU
Molecule: non-coding RNA, 115 nt
Organism: Triticum aestivum (bread wheat)
Lineage: Eukaryota; Viridiplantae; Streptophyta; Magnoliopsida; Poales; Poaceae
Source: Rfam